CUUGAGACUUCCGGGUUCUAUUCAGGAACCUGUACCCAUCUUUAAAGCUGUAGGCAUUAAACUAGGGGCUUGGAGUUUACAGGAUUGCCAUUUUUGGGUGUGUGAGGCAGGUGGCUUGUGGGUUUGAGGUCUUAUAAUCACCAUUACUGCGGCCCUUAUCGAAGCUGCAGCUGCUUCUACAUAGCUGCUGUGGUCAAAAAGGAGGCCCAGAGAAACAGUUUUCCUUGACGGUCGCGGUUCUGUUUGCUGCUAACUGAUCUGCAACAUUUUGGGAAAAGACAUCCCCACCGUGAGAUUUCUCAGGUUAUCUAGAGAGUCUUAUCAAUAUCAGCAUAUAUACUAAGUUGUGCCACAGGACCUUACGCCUAGCAUGCAGGAAGUAAAGGCCAGCCUGGUCUACAGAGUGAGUUUCAGGCCAGAUCUGGCUACAAAGAAAGACAUCGCCACUUGUAUGCCACAAGCCAGAAUAUCUUGAAUGUGCAGUUAGCUGAGACUUUUGGAAGUAGUUUGCUGAGCUUUCUUCAAACAUCUGUUGAUGGGGACUCCAUGAAGAUGGUGGUAAGAGGGAAGACCAGAAGAUGCGACCGUGGUGACAGGCAACAGUAGGGUCUGGUUACACUCAAUGUUCUUGGAAAUGUCUGAGAAGCCGGCCUGCCACUGCUCAAAUAAACUAAGGGCCAUUAACCAGUCAAGUGGCCAUCAUUCAUGAUGUGGUCUACAGUUGGUUCGACAAGUCAACAAGAGCACUGGACUGUCCUGGAAGCAAGCAGAAGUCUGACUGAUACUCAGUCAGGCCGCCUUUAAUACCAGCACUUGAAGGGCCAGCCUGGAACACAAGGAGAAACCCUGAAAAAUAAAGUAAAAUGCUUUGACUUACUAUGUAAUUGGGUCAAUAAAGACUGGAAAUCCUGGUUAUUGGA
This is a long non-coding RNA of Psammomys obesus (fat sand rat), 920 nucleotides long. RefSeq lists it as uncharacterized. Lineage: Eukaryota; Metazoa; Chordata; Mammalia; Rodentia; Muridae. The record is from RefSeq and is a predicted model, not a curated record. The transcript has 5 exons.